Molecule: transfer RNA, 72 nt
Filed under: Camelus bactrianus (Bactrian camel)
Lineage: Eukaryota; Metazoa; Chordata; Mammalia; Artiodactyla; Camelidae
Also listed under: 1 other name
Rfam family: tRNA
About the family: Transfer RNA (tRNA) molecules are approximately 80 nucleotides in length. Their secondary structure includes four short double-helical elements and three loops (D, anti-codon, and T loops).
Source: Rfam by way of RNAcentral
GGGGGUAUAGUUCAGUGGUAGAGCAUGUGCUAUGCAUGCAUGAGGUCCUGGGUUCAAUCUCCAGUACCUGCA